CCGGAAAUGGGAACAGUGUGGGACCAGUCACAAGGAUUCAGCCUGCCCGACUUCCAGACCCUUUCUGAAAGUUAGGCUUCUCCCUUCUGCCUGGAGUGAAAUUAGGCCCUGGGAGCCAGACAGACCAGCCUGUGGCUUUGUGAGGAAGUCUUUGGUGCUGCAGCAGGGACAGAAAGGGAAGCACAGGGAACCUGGGGCAAGACCAAAAACCGUUUGAAAUCAACAGAGCAGAGAAACCUGUCUUGCCCAAUCAGCCCCAGAAUCCUCUUCUUUCACAAGCUACUUUCUCAGGUAACCUUGUGGUUUCACCAUGAUCUCUCCACCUCACCCUCUCCCCCAGGACAAGGUGAAGCCUGAAAUUGCAGCACUAUUGAUUUCUGGGAUUUGCGUCAAACAGCAGGAUUUCUACAUGGUAGCUCUAGGACCUGCGGUCC
RNAcentral lists this long non-coding RNA (434 nucleotides) under Vombatus ursinus (common wombat). RNAcentral's name for it is "lncRNA (ENSVURG00010006460.1)". Lineage: Eukaryota; Metazoa; Chordata; Mammalia; Diprotodontia; Vombatidae. The record is from RNAcentral.